This 464-nucleotide ribosomal RNA is filed under the name Vreelandella stevensii. RNAcentral's name for it is "partial 16S ribosomal RNA". It matches the Rfam family "Bacterial small subunit ribosomal RNA", at positions 338 to 795 of the family's 1533-position model. Lineage: Bacteria; Pseudomonadati; Pseudomonadota; Gammaproteobacteria; Oceanospirillales; Halomonadaceae. The record is from RNAcentral.
CCUACGGGUGGCAGCAGUGGGGAAUAUUGGACAAUGGGGGGAACCCUGAUCCGCCAUGCCGCGUGUGUGAAGAAGGCCCUCGGGUUGUAAAGCACUUUCAGUGAGGAAGAACGCCUGGUGGUUAAUACCCAUCAGGAAAGACAUCACUCACAGAAGAAGCACCGGCUAACUCCGUGCCAGCAGCCGCGGUAAUACGGAGGGUGCGAGCGUUAAUCGGAAUUACUGGGCGUAAAGCGCGCGUAGGUGGCUUGAUAAGCCGGUUGUGAAAGCCCCGGGCUCAACCUGGGAACGGCAUCCGGAACUGUCAAGCUAGAGUGCAGGAGAGGAAGGUAGAAUUCCCGGUGUAGCGGUGAAAUGCGUAGAGAUCGGGAGGAAUACCAGUGGCGAAGGCGGCCUUCUGGACUGACACUGACACUGAGGUGCGAAAGCGUGGGUAGCAAACAGGAUUAGAUACCCUGGUAGUC